This 478-nucleotide ribosomal RNA is filed under the name uncultured bacterium. RNAcentral describes it as "partial 16S ribosomal RNA". It matches the Rfam family "Bacterial small subunit ribosomal RNA", at positions 28 to 523 of the family's 1533-position model. The record is from RNAcentral.
GACGAACGCUGGCGGCCUGCUUAACACAUGCAAGUCGAACGGUAAGGCCCUUCGGGGUACACGAGUGGCGAACGGGUGAGUAACACGUGGGUGAUCUGCCCUGCACUUCGGGAUAAGCCUGGGAAACUGGGUCUAAUACCGGAUAGGACCACUGCCUGCAUGGGUGGUGGUGGAAAGCUUUUGCGGUGUGGGAUGGGCCCGCGGCCUAUCAGCUUGUUGGUGGGGUGAUGGCCUACCAAGGCGACGACGGGUAGCCGGCCUGAGAGGGUGACCGGCCACACUGGGACUGAGAUACGGCCCAGACUCCUACGGGAGGCAGCAGUGGGGAAUAUUGCACAAUGGGCGCAAGCCUGAUGCAGCGACGCCGCGUGAGGGAUGACGGCCUUCGGGUUGUAAACCUCUUUCAGCACCGACGAAGCGCAAGUGACGGUAGGUGCAGAAGAAGGACCAGCCGACUACGUGCCAGCAGCCGCAGUAA